This is a non-coding RNA of Macaca mulatta (Rhesus monkey), 866 nucleotides long. Lineage: Eukaryota; Metazoa; Chordata; Mammalia; Primates; Cercopithecidae. The record is from RefSeq and is a predicted model, not a curated record.
GAAGGGGAAAAAUCUUCAACAGGAACCAGGCCACUGAGAGAUGGAAGAAAGGACAGCUCUUACCCAAACCUCAUGAGGAGGCUACCGGAAUCACCGGACAGUUCCUUUAUUGGGAAAACCCCCAGCGACUUUCCAAUGAAAUGGAGAAGGGAAAAGAGACCCUUCGGAAUCAGAUGAGUCCAUGAACCGGCAGCAGUCAGGGCAGUGGUGACAUCACAGAAGGAGCAUGGGCCUUAGACAGUCAUUACCCUUUAGAAUCCUUGCAGCUUUGAGCAAGUUCAUGAAUCUCACUAAAGCUCAGUUUCCUCCAUAGAAUUAAGCAAUAUCAGAGCCUCUGCACUGGACAACUCCAGAGGGCACCAUUGGGGUUAUAUUUUAUGUUUGCCUAACCUUCACUGCAGUGAGUAGGUGCGUGCUUUCUACAAUGUCCUGAGGUCUAAAGGGGUAGAGUUCUGUGUGUGGCAUUUUAGGCCUGGAAAGGAUGGGAGCCUACAAAACCAGAGAAAUAUUGCAGAGAUCCCAGAGCACCACCCAUGAUGCCAGGCUGGAGGAAGCAGCAGGCUAGAGGAAUUCAGGACAGACGAGCCAGGAAAGAGGACCCAAUGCAGAGCUCACAUCCCACCCUCCUUUCCCCAUGACAAAGCACUGGCAAACCCUGCCAAAGAAGACGCUUGGCUGCAAAGCAGUUUGGAACUGGACCCAGGAGCUCACCACCACAGGGAGUGCUGCACUUUGACUGGACAGAAUGCAUCCUCCCUGCCCACAGAGCAUGUGCCCAGGAUGAAUCUCACUGUAUCCCAGUUCCCCAUGAUGGGCCCCAAACCUCUUUUUCACAGUAAUAAAGAAAACACACUUUACAAAAAGGC